UGCAAUGAGAUAAAGAGAAACACAUCCAGAAUGUGUGACAUCAGUAUAAAGAGGGGAGUCUUUGCUUGUGUUAAUGACUUUAAAUCUGACUGCUUCAUUCAUCCAUUCAAACCCUCUGCUCAUCAUGUGGAGUCCUUCACUGUUGCUAAGGAAGAACCAGACAUGGUGUCCGAACCUGUAAUGGAAAGCUCAGUGCAUGUGUCUGCAGGAGGAUCAGUUAAUCUGACGUGCAUCUUUACAACAAAGAAAGAUUAUUCCCCAUCAGCCUUUUGUGGUGUACUGGAUUAAGGCUGGUGCUGAGAGCAGCACAUGUGUGUACUCACAUCAUUACUCUUCAUAUGAUGAUGGUGGUUUUGAUGGACACUGUUCUAUUGACAAAGAUCUUCUGUUAAGGAGAUCAUACACAUCCCACCCUUCUCUCACUGAUACCAAGACCCAUAACCUGAUGAUCAGCAGUGCCACUCACUCAGACAGUGGACAGUAUGUGUGUGCCUUACAAGUGAACAAGAACCAGCAGUACUGGAGAGUAAUCACCAACACUACAGUCACUGUGGGUGAUCCAGUCAAACCUGUGCACACAGUUUCCCUGCUACGUGGGAGUGUGAUUGAGGUCCUGCUGGUUAUUGGUGUCGCUCUCCUGGUUGGGUUUGA
This is a long non-coding RNA of Alosa alosa (allis shad), 651 nucleotides long. RefSeq lists it as uncharacterized. The transcript has 3 exons. NCBI's taxonomy places the organism in Eukaryota, Metazoa, Chordata, Actinopteri, Clupeiformes, Clupeidae. The record is from RefSeq and is a predicted model, not a curated record.